Molecule: transfer RNA, 76 nt
Filed under: Caudoviricetes sp.
Lineage: Duplodnaviria; Heunggongvirae; Uroviricota; Caudoviricetes
Description: tRNA-Met
Source: RNAcentral
CCAUGCAUAGCUUCAGUGGAAGAGCAGCAUCCGCAUAGGAUGUGUGUCGGCGGUUCGAUUCCGUCUGCAUGGGUUA